RNAcentral lists this long non-coding RNA (1594 nucleotides) under Homo sapiens (human). RNAcentral describes it as "HSALNT0124102". Lineage: Eukaryota; Metazoa; Chordata; Mammalia; Primates; Hominidae. The record is from RNAcentral.
GACGCGGGAGCCCAGCUGGUUUCACCGAGUGGAUCCCGCACCGGGGCUGCAGGUGGAGCUGCCUGCCAGUCCCGCACCAUGCGGUCGCACUCCUCAGCCCUUGGUUGGUGGAUGGGACUGGACGCCGUGGAGCAGGGGGCGGCGCUCGUCGGGGAGGCUCAGGCUGCGCAGGAGCCCAUGGAGGCGGGGUAAGGCUCAGGCAUGGCAGGCUGCAGUCCCGAGGCCUGCCCUGCGGGAAGGCAGCUAAGGCCUGGCGAGAAAUUGAGCGCAGCGCCGGUGGGCUAGCACUGCUGGGGGACCCAGUACACCCUCCGCAGCCGCUGGCCCGGGUGCUAAGCCCCUCAUUGCCCGAGGCCAGCAGGGCCGGCCGGCUGCUCUGAGUGCGGCCCGCCAAGCCCACGCCCACCCGGAACUCCAGCUGGCCCGCAAGAGCCGCGCGCAGCCCCGGUUCCCUCUCGCGCCUCUCCCUCCACACCUCCCCGCAAGCUGAGGGAGUGGGCUCCGGCCUUGGCCAGCCCAGAAAGGGGCUCCCACCGUGCAGCGGUGGGCUGAAGGGCUCCUCAAGUGCCACCAAAAUAAGAGCCCAGGCAGAGGAGGCGCUGAGAGCGAGCGAGGGAUGUGAGGACUGCCAGCACGCUGUCACCUCUCAUUAGGAUGAAACUGGUUCCAGACGUGAGAGUUUUAUUCCAAUAUGGCUUCCAGGAUCCCAGAGGACUCGACUUGUAGAGAGCAUCACUGGAGUCAGAAGGGCCGAGGUCCAGGGGCCAAGAACACACCUUGGUGCCAGAAGAAGUUCAUAAGUCUUGAAAUGCAGCAUCUCCUGAGGUAGAAUCAUUGGGCAGAACUCAUGAUAACAGAGCCUUCAAGAUGCGGAGUGAGGACAGGUGUGGGGGCUCACGCCUGUAAUCCCAACACUUUGGGAGGCCAAGGCGGUUGGAUCACCUAAGGUCAGGAGUUCAAGACCAGCCUGGCCAACAUGGUGAAAUCCCGUUUUUACUAAAAAUACGAAGAAUUAGCUGGAUGUGGUGACGCCUGCCUGUAAUCCCAGCUACUUGGGAGGCUGAGGCAGGAAAAUCACUUGAACCUGGGAGGUAGAGGUUGCAGUGAGCUGAGAUUGCACCACUGCACUUCAGCCUGGGCAACAGAGUGAGACUCCGUCUCAAAAAAACAAAAACAAAAACAAAAGAUGGUGAGCGAGUAAGAGCAAUAAAAAUAUUUGAAUGUGUGACUCCUACACUUUUUAACUUAGAUUUUUGGAAAAAAAAUCCUUACACAUUUUCAUCGUAAAGAUUCUCCUACUUGAGAAUCUUGGCAGUUGAUAAACUCAAAGCCAUUUUUAUUCCUUCCUGUAACUUUCAAGCAUUAUCCAUAAAUGCUAUACAGCCCCCAUCUUGCCCCAUCCUUCCACCCUUUUCCCAUCCUUCAAGCAGUUCUUGAAAAGCAGUUCUUGAAAUGACCCCAAAUAUGCCUGUUGCUUCCUGCUGAUGGUACUUAACCCUGACCAGAAAUGGAUUUAGUUAAGAUGUAUUUUUAAUGGUAGCAACAUGGCUAUAUAUAUUCACAUAUUCAUUUAUAUUUUAAGAGAUAAGGUCCU